CAGCAGCCGCGGGAAUACGUAGGGCGCAAGCGUUAUCCGGAAUUAUUGGGCGUAAAGAGCUCGUAGGCGGUUUGUCGCGUCUGCCGUGAAAGUCCGGGGCUCAACCCCGGAUCUGCGGUGGGUACGGGCAGACUAGAGUGAUGUGGGGGAGACUGGAAUUCCUGGUGUAGCGGUGAAAUGCGCAGAUAUCAGGAGGAACACCGAUGGCGAAGGCAGGUCUCUGGGCAUUAACUGACGCUGAGGAGCGAAAGCGUGGGGAGCGAACAGGAUUAGAUACCCCCGUAGUCCCUGUCUCUUAUAC
This 301-nucleotide ribosomal RNA is filed under the name uncultured bacterium. RNAcentral describes it as "partial 16S ribosomal RNA". It matches the Rfam family "Bacterial small subunit ribosomal RNA", at positions 509 to 807 of the family's 1533-position model. The record is from RNAcentral.